CAAAGUGAAAACCUUAUCAAAGGGACUGAGACUUGAGUUUUUCGAUUAUAUUUGCCUUACAAUAUCAGAAGUGGGAUACGAUUUGUAUCAGAUUCGAAUACAGCAAACAGUCGGAGAAAUCAUGAAUAAACUUUAUUUCAAGAAUUUAUGUGCAAAAAGAACUGAGCCUAAGUCAACAUGUCUGACAUUGAGAAUUCCCGUGACGAAGAAUUAGGAAAACAAGGAAACUAUAAUAAAAGAGGUAAUGAUACGAAUUUGCAAAAUAACGGCUCCGUAGACCCAACUGAAUUGGUAACCACUGCUUUGUUGCAGAAUAACCAUAUUUUGGGGUUACUAGCGAAUAAAUUGGCUUCACUAGGGUCAGUGGGGAAUGUGGCUACACCCAUACACCCUUGGGCUUUCGCGCCACCCGCUUCUACGUCCGCU
RNAcentral lists this long non-coding RNA (426 nucleotides) under Androctonus crassicauda. Lineage: Eukaryota; Metazoa; Arthropoda; Arachnida; Scorpiones; Buthidae. The record is from RNAcentral.